UCCAAGUUGCUAUGAAGUUUUCUCUAAUUG
RNAcentral lists this non-coding RNA (30 nucleotides) under Mus musculus (house mouse). The record is from RNAcentral. Lineage: Eukaryota; Metazoa; Chordata; Mammalia; Rodentia; Muridae.